GAGCGAUAAGAGUAAACCUGUCCAAAGACAGGGACGCAAAGCUAUAGGGUCUAGGUGCUUACAGUUCAAAAGUCAGUUAUUAAC
Molecule: non-coding RNA, 84 nt
Filed under: Syntrophobotulus glycolicus
Lineage: Bacteria; Bacillati; Bacillota; Clostridia; Eubacteriales; Desulfitobacteriaceae
Also listed under: 1 other name
Description: c-di-GMP sequence
Rfam family: c-di-GMP-I riboswitch aptamer
About the family: GEMM was predicted in a large-scale screen for bacterial structured RNA regulatory elements. Genes associated with GEMM are involved in a diverse array of functions, including chemotaxis regulation, signal transduction, secretion and chitin.
Source: RNAcentral